CACGUCGAGCGGAACGAUUUAUCUUAACCUUCGGGGCACGAUACGGCGUCCAGCGGCCGACGGCUGAGUCUAGCCUAGGAAAUUGCCCUGAUGUGGGGGAUAACCAUUGGAAACGAUGGCUAAUACCGCAUGAUGCCUACGGGCCAAAGAGGGGGACCUUCGGGCCUCUCGCGUCAGGAUAUGCCUAGGUGGGAUUAGCUAGUUGGUGAGGUAAGGGCUCACCAAGGCGACGAUCCCUAGCUGGUCUGAGAGGAUGAUCAGCCACACUGGAACUGAGACACGGUCCAGACUCCUACGGGAGGCAGCAGUGGGGAAUAUUGCACAAUGGGCGCAAGCCUGAUGCAGCCAUGCCGCGUGUGUGAAGAAGGCCUUCGGGUUGUAAAGCACUUUCAGUCGUGAGGAAGGUAGUGUAGUUAAUAGCUGCAUUAUUUGACGUUAGCGACAGAAGAAGCACCGGCUAACUCCGUGCCAGCAGCCGCGGUAAUACGGAGGGUGCGAGCGUUAAUCGGAAUUACUGGGCGUAAAGCGCAUGCAGGUGGUUUGUUAAGUCAGAUGUGAAAGCCCGGGGCUCAACCUCGGAAUUGCAUUUGAAACUGGCAGACUAGAGUACUGUAGAGGGGGGUAGAAUUUCAGGUGUAGCGGUGAAAUGCGUAGAGAUCUGAAGGAAUACCGGUGGCGAAGGCGGCCCCCUGGACAGAUACUGACACUCAGAUGCGAAAGCGUGGGGAGCAAACAGGAUUAGAUACCCUGGUAGUCCACGCCGUAAACGAUGUCUACUUGGAGGUUGUGGCCUUGAGCCGUGGCUUUCGGAGCUAACGCGUUAAGUAGACCGCCUGGGGAGUACGGUCGCAAGAUUAAAACUCAAAUGAAUUGACGGGGGCCCGCACAAGCGGUGGAGCAUGUGGUUUAAUUCGAUGCAACGCGAAGAACCUUACCUACUCUUGACAUCCAGAGAACUUUCCAGAGAUGGAUUGGUGCCUUCGGGAACUCUGAGACAGGUGCUGCAUGGCUGUCGUCAGCUCGUGUUGUGAAAUGUUGGGUUAAGUCCCGCAACGAGCGCAACCCUUAUCCUUGUUUGCCAGCGAGUAAUGUCGGGAACUCCAGGGAGACUGCCGGUGAUAAACCGGAGGAAGGUGGGGACGACGUCAAGUCAUCAUGGCCCUUACGAGUAGGGCUACACACGUGCUACAAUGGCGCAUACAGAGGGCGGCCAACUUGCGAAAGUGAGCGAAUCCCAAAAAGUGCGUCGUAGUCCGGAUUGGAGUCUGCAACUCGACUCCAUGAAGUCGGAAUCGCUAGUAAUCGUGGAUCAGAAUGCCACGGUGAAUACGUUCCCGGGCCUUGUACACACCGCCCGUCACACCAUGGGAGUGGGCUGCAAAAGAAGUAGGUAGUUUAACCUUCGGGGGG
This 1410-nucleotide ribosomal RNA is filed under the name Vibrio parahaemolyticus. Its description in RNAcentral is "bacterial SSU rRNA". It matches the Rfam family "Bacterial small subunit ribosomal RNA". Lineage: Bacteria; Pseudomonadati; Pseudomonadota; Gammaproteobacteria; Vibrionales; Vibrionaceae. The record is from RNAcentral.